This 1325-nucleotide ribosomal RNA is filed under the name Chryseobacterium sp. AHM26. RNAcentral describes it as "bacterial SSU rRNA". It matches the Rfam family "Bacterial small subunit ribosomal RNA", at positions 85 to 1417 of the family's 1533-position model. Lineage: Bacteria; Pseudomonadati; Bacteroidota; Flavobacteriia; Flavobacteriales; Weeksellaceae. The record is from RNAcentral.
AAUCUUGAGAGCGGCGUACGGGUGCGGAACACGUGUGCAACCUGCCUUUAUCAGGGGGAUAGCCUUUCGAAAGGAAGAUUAAUACCCCAUAAUAUAUUGAAUGGCAUCAUUUAAUAUUGAAAACUCCGGUGGAUAGAGAUGGGCACGCGCAAGAUUAGAUAGUUGGUGAGGUAACGGCUCACCAAGUCUACGAUCUUUAGGGGGCCUGAGAGGGUGAUCCCCCACACUGGUACUGAGACACGGACCAGACUCCUACGGGAGGCAGCAGUGAGGAAUAUUGGACAAUGGGUGAGAGCCUGAUCCAGCCAUCCCGCGUGAAGGACGACGGCCCUAUGGGUUGUAAACUUCUUUUGUAUAGGGAUAAACCUAGAUACGUGUAUCUAGCUGAAGGUACUAUACGAAUAAGCACCGGCUAACUCCGUGCCAGCAGCCGCGGUAAUACGGAGGGUGCAAGCGUUAUCCGGAUUUAUUGGGUUUAAAGGGUCCGUAGGCGGAUUUGUAAGUCAGUGGUGAAAUCUCACAGCUUAACUGUGAAACUGCCAUUGAUACUGCAAGUCUUGAGUGUUGUUGAAGUAGCUGGAAUAAGUAGUGUAGCGGUGAAAUGCAUAGAUAUUACUUAGAACACCAAUUGCGAAGGCAGGUUACUAAGCAACAACUGACGCUGAUGGACGAAAGCGUGGGGAGCGAACAGGAUUAGAUACCCUGGUAGUCCACGCCGUAAACGAUGCUAACUCGUUUUUGGAGCGCAAGCUUCAGAGACUAAGCGAAAGUGAUAAGUUAGCCACCUGGGGAGUACGAACGCAAGUUUGAAACUCAAAGGAAUUGACGGGGGCCCGCACAAGCGGUGGAUUAUGUGGUUUAAUUCGAUGAUACGCGAGGAACCUUACCAAGGCUUAAAUGGGAAAUGACAGGUUUAGAAAUAGACUUUUCUUCGGACAUUUUUCAAGGUGCUGCAUGGUUGUCGUCAGCUCGUGCCGUGAGGUGUUAGGUUAAGUCCUGCAACGAGCGCAACCCCUGUCACUAGUUGCCAUCAUUAAGUUGGGGACUCUAGUGAGACUGCCUACGCAAGUAGAGAGGAAGGUGGGGAUGACGUCAAAUCAUCACGGCCCUUACGCCUUGGGCCACACACGUAAUACAAUGGCCGGUACAGAGGGCAGCUACACUGCGAAGUGAUGCAAAUCUCGAAAGCCGGUCUCAGUUCGGAUUGGAGUCUGCAACUCGACUCUAUGAAGCUGGAAUCGCUAGUAAUCGCGCAUCAGCCAUGGCGCGGUGAAUACGUUCCCGGGCCUUGUACACACCGCCCGUCAAGCCAUGGAAGUCUGGGG